RNAcentral lists this ribosomal RNA (270 nucleotides) under uncultured archaeon. Its description in RNAcentral is "partial 16S ribosomal RNA". It matches the Rfam family "Archaeal small subunit ribosomal RNA", at positions 477 to 747 of the family's 1478-position model. The record is from RNAcentral.
CUGCAGCCCGAGUGGUGAUCGAUUUUAUUGAGCCUAAAGCGUCCGUAGCCGGACUAGUAAACCCUUGGGUAAAUUGGGCAGCUUAACUGUCCAAAUUCCGAGGGGACUGCUAGUCUUGGGACCGGGAGAGGUCAGAGGUACUCCAGGGGUAGGGGCUAAAUCCUGUAAUCCUUGGGGGACCACCAGUGGCGAAGGCGUCUGACUAGAACGGAUCCGACGGUAAGGGACGAAACACUGGGGCGCGAACCGGAUUAGAUACCCGAGUAGUCC